GAAGUUUGUAAAAAUUUAGCUGCUAACUAAACUUAUAGUGAAUUUAAUCAUUAAUUCUUC
This 60-nucleotide transfer RNA is filed under the name Phryganopsyche latipennis. RNAcentral describes it as "tRNA-Ser". The record is from RNAcentral. Lineage: Eukaryota; Metazoa; Arthropoda; Insecta; Trichoptera; Phryganopsychidae.